Molecule: long non-coding RNA, 2352 nt
Organism: Camelus dromedarius (Arabian camel)
Lineage: Eukaryota; Metazoa; Chordata; Mammalia; Artiodactyla; Camelidae
Exons: 4
Source: RefSeq, a predicted model, not a curated record
UGGUUUCCCUGGUAACUGAUGAGCCAACCUGACGUCAGUUCCUCCUAUAAAUGGUAGCUUCAUUCUCCCUCGAGUCGGGAAGAUUGCAGCAGUGCCUUGCCUGUGGGGUGCCGUGCACAGUGGGAUGUCACUCCAGGACCUUUUGUUUCAGACAGGAAGUGGACCAAGAUGGGUUUGUCAACCAGACAUGAAGUCAUGGGACUGCACUGUGUGAGAGAUAGGUAGGCCCCCGUGUCGUGACUGUGUAAGUGCCCGCUGUGAAGCAUGUCCUUCCAGAGUCAAAGAACGGUCCCCGAACCUUCAGCCUAUUAACUUGCAGUUCCAGGCCCAGCGAUCUAUAACUAACUGCAGAGGCCACCACAUGUGCAGGGUUGAAGUGUUACCUCCUAAGUUCCAUGUGUCCUUCAAAAUCUGUGAUGGUUAUGUGGGUGUAUCUGACUGUCAAAAUGGAACCAACGGAACACUAAAGCAACGGGCAUUUUAUUACAUACAAUGUACACUAUCACUGAAAAAAAUCUAAAUGGACUGUCUUCAGAAAUUUGGAGUUCCAUACCAGUGGAAGUCUUCAAGCAAAGACCAAGAGACAGAAUCACUAAACAACUGGACUAGAUGCCUGGCUUUUGAGUUUCAGAAUGCACUGGAAUCAGAGCUCGUAAAUGUACAAAAUCAAAGUAGCCCAACUCCCAGAGACUCACUUAAUAAGAAUAAGACGGGACUCGGGUACUUUUAUUUUUAAUUGGCACCCACCUCAUAAAAUUCUGAAAAAGAUGGAUAAAUCACUGACUCCAAUUCAAGAAGCAACAAAGGAACAGUAAGGAGUAACCACCAUUCACCAUUCUCAAUACUACCUGUUUCUAAAUUUUAAGAGGGAAAUCAUGAUGAGAAAUAUUGACUGAUGUGUUCUAUAGAUGGACACAUUUCAGUAUAUUACUAUAAAACUAUAUUAAAUCAAUAUGUUUUACUCAUUAUUUUCAGUGAAGACAAUUUAAAGUUUCUUCUCUUUUGUUUCCCAUACCCAGUUAUUUUAUAUAUUUGAGAAAGUUACAUAAUCUUCUCUUAACAAAAAAGAAAUCACUACCAGUUUUUCAGGAAACAGCAAACAAAAAGGCGAGUAAACCUGUAAAGACCUAUUAAACCUACACACUCUCAGUUUAUUUAUAAAUAAGUGGCUUCUACUACACACAUGCCCCCUUGAUAUCUAUCAGGCUGCAUAUUAUCAUUUCAUGCUAAUUACUCUAAUUUUAGUAGCAUUCUCCUGUAAGCCCAAAGCCAAAAAAAAAAAAGUUUAGGGCCAAAAACGAUUGUUGGGGGUAUUAUCUUUUCUCUUUGUGAACCUUACUGAUACCUGUUUUGUAUACAUAACCCCAGAACACAGAGGUAGGGAAGGUUAACUACCUGGAAGGUAACCUGAGCUAUCUUGAAGAAGUAGUACUUGGUGACAGGUGGACACAGGGGAAGUCAUUCCAAGUAGUGGAAAGAGCACACACAAAGGCGUAAGAGGAGGAAAUACUACUACAAGGAUUGUAGAUUUGGUAUAAUGAAAGUUGUGUUUUGGGGAGUGAAAACGACAGGGACACUAAACGAGUAGAAGCAAUGAAACAAUAUGAUAAAAAUCAGAUGUGCUAUAAUUCUCACUCUUGCGGCAUUGUGAAAAGUAAAUUCGAAGGAGUAUGGCAGAGAUAAGACGUGAGGCAGACAGCUUUACGGUUCAAGUGACAAAUGAUAAGGCUCUACGCAAAGGCAGUCCUGUGAGAGGUGAAUAGAAGGUGAAUAGAACAAAAUCGCAAAGAUUUUUAUGAGAUUGAAUAUAAAUAGUGAAGGAUAUGAAGGAAUCCAAAAUGAGAUGGAAUGAACAGUAAGGUUCUGAAAUGCAAUGCAAUAGCAGAUGUGGUGUGCACAGAUAAGGGGAGAAAAUAAAGAUUAGUCUUGAACACACUUGUAUUUGUUAUUGUAGCCAUCCAGGUCCAGAAAGCUGUUAGAAACUGAGACAAGAAUUUAAGAAAUGAGGUCCCUACUAUCAACAUAGUGUUUAUGGGAAAGGUUUUCUGACGAAAACAAAGGAUGACAGUCAAUUCACUAGCAGGGACGAGUGCUAUGGUCGAAAACAAAGAGAGGAGCAUCCUUAGCCCAGGAGAGGAGCCUAAUGGAUUUCACUGAGUUUAUGGUGCUUACUUCUCUCCUAGGUGAAUAUCCUCAUUUAGAAAGCUAAUAGGAUUUCUACAAGGGCAGACUCAACAAAUGACAAUGCAGCUCACAUUAAAACAUUAAUCCUGAUAAACCAUGACAACAGACUGAUUCUCAACUGAACAGGAAAAAAAAAAAAAAGGAAGAAAGAAAGAAGAAAGCUUGAAG